AACAUCCAGUCUGGUUCCUCCACCAAAAGUCCACCACAGUGAUACAAAGUCAUUGAGCCGUCGUACAAAAACCUCUCACUGUAGAGAGACACGGCUCUCUGACUCUGAAACAAACAAACUCACCAGAAUCAGUCUGUUAGUAAUAUUUUUUCAGCAGGUGUGAGAAAUGACAACCACAGAACAAUAUUUAUAAAAUUAACAAUAUUCUACAUUUAUUCAUUUUACAGAAAAAUCAAGCUUUUGCUUCAAUUUUAAUAUAUAUAAUAUAUAUGUAAGAAAACAAAAUCAGAAAAAAAGUUACUCAGACAUGAAACCUAAACCACAUGGAAAUAAGUAUUAAUACAUCCUGAUCAAUACUCUGAUCAACUGAUUGAUCCAUUGAUAAACAGCAUGAUCAGAGUGAUCCAAGUCCCUGCUGGAGCCAGUCAGAGCAUUUCCAUAGAGAGCCACUUUGCAUCAGCAGCACCAUGCUCCAGUGCUCUGGGAGAGUUUAUAGUCCUGAGAGUUGAAGACUGGAUGACUGACAGCUGUCCUUCAUGACAACAGAAGACACAGAAAUCCUCCUCAUCAGAAACAUGACUUUGGUCUCCGUCCUCAUCUGGACUCUCCUCUGCUGCUGCUUCACAGAGUCCAGAGGACAGGUCACAGUGACUCAGCCUGGAGCAGUGAGCUCUGCUCUGGGAGGCUCCGUCACCAUCAGCUGUAGAACCAGUCAGGCUGUUCAUGUUUAUAGCAACAAACAUCGUUUAUCCUGGUACCAACAGAGAGAUGGAGAAAAACCUAAACUCCUUAUUUACGAUGCUUCCACUCGAGCAUCAGGGAUUCCAGGUCGUUUUACAGGCAGUGGAUCAAACUCUGACUUCACUCUGACCAUCAGUGGAGUCCAGACUGAAGAUGCAGCAGUUUACUACUGUCAGAGUCUCCACUAUAUCAACAGUCAGUGGGUGUUCACACAGUGAAAAAGCGUCGUACAAAAACCUCCCUCAGUCAGACUGAACAGAAACUGAACUGACUGCUGCAGCUGGAAGCUACUGCAGAGACUGAUACAGUUCACUGAGGACACACACACACACACACACACACACACACACACACACACACACACACACACACAC
Seriola aureovittata is the source of this 1115-nucleotide non-coding RNA. Lineage: Eukaryota; Metazoa; Chordata; Actinopteri; Carangiformes; Carangidae. The record is from the annotation of a RefSeq genome assembly.